This 433-nucleotide ribosomal RNA is filed under the name uncultured bacterium. RNAcentral's name for it is "partial 16S ribosomal RNA". It matches the Rfam family "Bacterial small subunit ribosomal RNA", at positions 29 to 507 of the family's 1533-position model. The record is from RNAcentral.
AACGAACGCUGGCGGCAUGCCUAACACAUGCAAGUCGAACGAGACCUUCGGGUCUAGUGGCGCACGGGUGCGUAACGCGUGGGAACCUGCCCUUAGGUUCGGAAUAACUCCCCGAAAGGGGUGCUAAUACCGGAUAAUGUCUUCGGACCAAAGAUUUAUCGCCUUUGGAUGGGCCCGCGUUGGAUUAGCUAGUUGGUAGGGUAAAAGCCUACCAAGGCGACGAUCCAUAGCUGGUCUGAGAGGAUGAUCAGCCACACUGGGACUGAGACACGGCCCAGACUCCUACGGGAGGCAGCAGUGGGGAAUAUUGGACAAUGGGCGAAAGCCUGAUCCAGCAAUGCCGCGUGAGUGAUGAAGGCCUUAGGGUUGUAAAGCUCUUUAACCCGGGAUGAUAAUGACAGUACCGGGAUAAUAAGCUCCGGCUAACUCCGUG